This is a small nucleolar RNA of Lontra canadensis (Northern American river otter), 69 nucleotides long. RefSeq annotates it as small nucleolar RNA SNORD49. NCBI's taxonomy places the organism in Eukaryota, Metazoa, Chordata, Mammalia, Carnivora, Mustelidae. The record is from RefSeq and is a predicted model, not a curated record. The transcript has a single exon.
CGCUCUGAUGAAAUCAUCUAUAGGAAGUGCCAUCAGAAGCGAAAGAAGGAAACACAGUGAAGUCCGAAU